Molecule: ribosomal RNA, 609 nt
Filed under: uncultured bacterium
Lineage: Bacteria
Description: bacterial SSU rRNA
Rfam family: Bacterial small subunit ribosomal RNA
Source: RNAcentral
CUCUUCGGAGAUAGUGGCAGACGGGUGAGUAACGCGUGGGAACCUACCCUUUGGUACGGAACAACAGUUGGAAACGACUGCUAAUACCGUAUGUGCCCUACGGGGGAAAGAUUUAUCGCCAAAGGAUGGGCCCGCGUUGGAUUAGCUAGUUGGUGAGGUAAUGGCUCACCAAGGCGACGAUCCAUAGCUGGUCUGAGAGGAUGAUCAGCCACACUGGGACUGAGACACGGCCCAGACUCCUACGGGAGGCAGCAGUGGGGAAUAUUGGACAAUGGGCGCAAGCCUGAUCCAGCCAUGCCGCGUGAGUGAUGAAGGCCUUAGGGUUGUAAAGCUCUUUCAGCGAGGAGGAUAAUGACGUUACUCGCAGAAGAAGCCCCGGCUAACUUCGUGCCAGCAGCCGCGGUAAUACGAAGGGGGCUAGCGUUGUUCGGAAUCACUGGGCGUAAAGCGCACGUAGGCGGAUUGAUAAGUUAGGGGUGAAAUCCCAGGGCUCAACCCUGGAACUGCCUUUGAUACUGUCAGUCUAGAGACCGAGAGAGGUGAGUGGAACUCCGAGUGUAGAGGUGAAAUUCGUAGAUAUUCGGAAGAACACCAGUGGCGAAGGCGGCU